GUAGGUGAACCUGCGGAAGGAUCAUUACUAGAGCAAAGGACAGACAGCUCCCUCGCAGCUCGCUGCUUGGGGCCACCCGACCUCGGUUGGGUUUAGAGUCGUCAGGCCUCUCGUAGAAGCCUGGUCCUGAACUCCACCCUUGAAUAAACUACCUUUGUUGCUUUGGCGGGCCGCCUCGUGCCAGCGGCUUCGGCUGUUGAGUGCCCGCCAGAGGACCACAACUCUUGUUUUUAGUGAUGUCUGAGUAUUA
Molecule: unclassified non-coding RNA, 250 nt
Filed under: plant metagenome
Description: partial contains small subunit ribosomal RNA, internal transcribed spacer 1, and 5.8S ribosomal RNA
Source: RNAcentral